This 511-nucleotide ribosomal RNA is filed under the name uncultured bacterium. Its description in RNAcentral is "partial 16S ribosomal RNA". It matches the Rfam family "Bacterial small subunit ribosomal RNA", at positions 28 to 523 of the family's 1533-position model. The record is from RNAcentral.
GACGAACGCUGGCGGCGUGCCUAAUACAUGCAAGUAGAACGCUGAAGGAGGAGCUUACUUCUCUGGAUGAGUUGCGAACGGGUGAGUAACGCGUAGGUAACCUGCCUGGUAGCGGGGGAUAACUAUUGGAAACGAUAGCUAAUACCGCAUAAGAGUAGAUGUUGCAUGACAUUUACUUAAAAGGUGCAAUUGCACCACUACCAGAUGGACCUGCGUUGUAUUAGCUAGUUGGUGGGGUAACGGCUUACCAAGGCGACGAUACAUAGCCGACCUGGGAGGGUGAUCGGCCACACUGGGACUGAGACACGGCCCAGACUCCUACGGGAGGCAGCAGUAGGGAAUCUUCGGCAAUGGACGGAAGUCCGACCGAGCAACGCCGCGUGAGUGAAGAAGGUUUUCGGAUCGUAAAGCUCUGUUGUAAGAGAAGAACGAGUGUGAGAGUGGAAAGUUCACACUGUGACGGUAUCUUACCAGAAAGGGACGGCUAACUACGUGCCAGCAGCCGCCGUAA